GAUGAACGCUGGCGGCGUGCCUAAUACAUGCAAGUCGAACGGACAGACGCGGAGCUUGCUGGUCUGACGUUAGCGGCAGACGGGUGUAUAACACGUGGAUAACCUACCUAUAAGACUGGGAUCACUUCGGAAAACGGGAGCUAAUACGGGAUGAGAUCUUGAACCGCGGGGGUCAAAAGUGAGAGACGGUCGUGCUGUCACUACUAGAUGGAUUCGCGCUGCAUGAGCUAGUUGGUCAGGUAACGGCUUACCAAGGCAACGAUGCGUAGACGAACUCAGAGGGUGAUCGGCCACACGGGAACUGAGACACGGUCAAGACGCCUACGGGAGGCAGCAGUAUGGAAUCUGCCGCAAUGGGCGAAAGCCUGACGGAGCAACGCCGAGUGUGUGAUGAAGGCGUUGCGAUCGUAAAACCCGGUUAUGAGGGAAGAACAUAUGUGUAAGGAACUGUGCACAUCUUGACGGUACCUAAUCAGAAAGCCACGGCUAACUACGUG
Molecule: ribosomal RNA, 497 nt
Filed under: uncultured bacterium
Lineage: Bacteria
Description: partial 16S ribosomal RNA
Rfam family: Bacterial small subunit ribosomal RNA
Source: RNAcentral